RNAcentral lists this long non-coding RNA (342 nucleotides) under Phoenix dactylifera (date palm). RNAcentral's name for it is "long non-coding RNA (PDAC_LNC000835)". Lineage: Eukaryota; Viridiplantae; Streptophyta; Magnoliopsida; Arecales; Arecaceae. The record is from RNAcentral.
GCUUUAGUUGCUAUGGGAGAAGUAACUGUCACGCCCCAAAUCCGGAUCAUGACACGGCCGUGCUAUUGCUAUCUUAUGCACACAAUAACACGAAGCCACAUAAAAUUUCAUAAUAAAAAUAAAUAGUUUCAUUUACUAAUAUCAUAACAUUGUUCAUGAAGUUGGAACAGUACAGAGCUUCUAAAAUCUGAUUAUUACAUAACAUUUUCAAUUACCCCAACCCUGAAUAACAUCAAGCUCCCCGCUCCUAGUGGUCUUAAUCAUCUGUAGGAAAAAAAUAGAUAAAAAGGUAUGAGCUACACAGCUCAGUAAGUAACCAGGUACUAUCUUAUUGGAUCAAGU